UGUUGCUAAGUAGUGUUUAUACUAAGCCAAGGACAUUUCAGCUUUGCAUGUCCUGCCAGGAGGAAGGCUGGAGGGGCACAAGAAGUUUUGGGGGAGAGACAGCCUGGAUAGCUGACCCCAGCUCUCCAAAGGGAUAUUGCAUACAUGGUAACAGGGUCAGUAUAUAAUCUAGGGGAAAUCUGGCCAGAGACUAUGGCUCAGGGAGUGGCUGGACAUCAGUUGUGAGCCAGGAGCCAGAAGCUUAGUGCUUUCCUGAAGGGUCCCAGGACUCUCUGAAUUCUUCCCUAUUGGUCUACCCUAUAUGGUUUCUUCUUCAAACCACCACUGGAAGCAAAUUUUAUGGGAGCUCUAAAACUUUGCGAACAACUGGGGUAGAAGAUUUGGCUCAAAUGCCCAUAGCACAGCACAGACAACAUCCAAAAUUAGGAUUUAAUAAAAUGCAGAAUUACCUGAAGAGAAUGCCCAGCAGGACUCAAGCUAAAUCUAAACGUUUCAUUGAACGAAGGCUCUCGGUCAUGCCUGCAUACUCUGGUUUUCUUCUUAAUUACUCUCUUUUGGGUAGAGAUAUUGACAACAUACAGCUUCACAUACAGGUCUGGGGAGAAAUAGUUCAAUGAGUUAAAUACAGAAGCUUUUAAAUAAUUGUUGUUAAUGAUUUCAACAGGGGGGAAAUUUGUUGAAAAAAUGAUAUUUUAAAAAGUCAUAUUCUGUUCUCAUUCACAUGUUGUAGAAAUGGAUCCACCCCACCAAAUCCAAAGGAAUUAUUUUGUGUUUAUAAUACUGUCAUUAAAGUAAAGAAUAUCUUGAUAUCUUUAUUUAUGUAUGAAAAUAUCAUUAUGAACAUGAGAUUUUUGUUUUUAAAAAGCUUUUUCACAAAAAUAGAGUCCUCUACUAGUUAUCCCCGUUCUUUGAUGAUCUAGGGAUUUUUAAUUUUUAGUGAAGUUAAAAAUGGAUUUUUUUAAAAAAUAAAAAGUAAACUAAAAAGAGGAUUAACUUCUGAGAGUUAAUUUGCUGCUACAAAUUGUUUUUAUUUUUAUUAAGGUUGCUCAUAGGAAAAAAGAAGCACUUCAAAAAGAAUCCUGUAGAAUAUGUCAUCCUGGCUAAGAAGCAAUUUUCUUUUCCAUUUUAGUGAUGAUAUUAAAUUACUCAAGAUACAGCCUACUUAAUGUUUUCAAAGUACCAUGAAUCUGUUUUCUUAGUGAUACCUGGAAGAUGAUCAGGAGAUUUAAAUUUGUAUGUGAUAUUUCUGCACUGAAGGAUUUCCACU
This is a long non-coding RNA of Prinia subflava (tawny-flanked prinia), 1267 nucleotides long. RefSeq lists it as uncharacterized. The transcript has 4 exons. NCBI's taxonomy places the organism in Eukaryota, Metazoa, Chordata, Aves, Passeriformes, Cisticolidae. The record is from RefSeq and is a predicted model, not a curated record.